GAGUUUGAUCGUGGCUCAGAACGAACGCUGGCGGCGUGGAUAAGACAUGCAAGUCGAACGGGAGAAUUGCUAGCUUGCUAAUAAUUCUCUAGCGGCGCACGGGUGAGUAACACGUGAGUAACCUGCCCCCGAGAGCGGGAUAGCCCUGGGAAACUGGGAUUAAUACCGCAUAGUAUCGAAAGAUUAAAGCAGCAAUGCGCUUGGGGAUGGCUCGCGGCCUAUUAGUUAGUUGGUGAGGUAACGGCUCACCAAGGCGAUGACGGGUAGCCGGUCUGAGAGGAUGUCCGGCCACACUGGAACUGAGACACGGUCCAGACACCUACGGGUGGCAGCAGUCGAGAAUCAUUCACAAUGGGGGAAACCCUGAUGGUGCGACGCCGCGUGGGGAAUGAAGGUCUUCGGAUUGUAAACCCCUGUCAUGUGGGAGCAAAUUAAAAAGAUAGUACCACAAGAGGAAGAGACGGCUAACUCUGUGCCAGCAGCCGCCGCAGU
RNAcentral lists this ribosomal RNA (492 nucleotides) under uncultured microorganism. RNAcentral's name for it is "bacterial SSU rRNA". It matches the Rfam family "Bacterial small subunit ribosomal RNA", at positions 9 to 524 of the family's 1533-position model. The record is from RNAcentral.